GAAACACACCAUUGGUAAGAAAAACACAAAAAAGUUUGAAAAAAUUGCAUGUGGCGUCAACCUGGCCUCCAUAGAAUUGACCGUCAGAAGGCUAUUAAAAAGGUUGAUGCCAGAAAAAGUGUUUCUGAUGUCGAAGCUUGAUUAAAUGUGCAGAAGUCAACAGUUUAGAUACUAACAAACAGAUAUCGACAAAUUGCAACUGCACGGGUUAGGUCGAUAUGUCGUAGACCAAGAAAAACUAUCGUGCUUUGCAUCAACACGUGACAAUUUUUGUGCGGCCACAAGAGUAGUGCAUUGACUGAGGGCAAAUGUUGGUGCGCCUGCUAAUUCUUCAUUGAUGCAGUUAGGGCAUGGCCGAGGAAUUGAUUUUGAAUAACUCUAAUACUCAUUUUCGCAUUUUGACCCUCCCGCGCUCUAUACAAAAAAAAUCCCAAUGAAUGUGAGUGAUAAACAUUCAUGUUGCUUCUGAUAUGUCAUAAUUUCAUUUGUUUACUAUUAAAAUCAUAUGUUGUUACAAUUUUGUUAUAAGAUAAAAUUUCAUAUUUUUGUUGCUAAACUUUUUUGGCUCAGUAUAGUUUAAAUUCUAUAGUUCUUGUUCACAUGAGAGAGAGAGACGUUGUCACUUACCAUCUAGUUUAACUUUGUCUUACUUAAGUUUUUAAGUAGAUAGUUCGGAUAUUUCAUUUUGGAAAUCUUCAAAUGUAUUAUGCCAUCCAUAUUGGCACUGUACUGGCCGAUUCAGAAAGUGUAACCAAGAUGACUGGGUUUAAGUAAAGAUAAAUCAAUCAGGAGCUGACUUUUAUUUCACUACCAAUCCAAAUGGUGAAAAACUGAAAAUACAAAUAUAAAUACAAUUUUACAAUGUGUUCAAUGAUAAUUAAAGUCCAUUAAAAUACGGAUAUAAAACAGUUUGUAAGUAUAUAAGGCCGUUAAAGAUCUUUAUAAUAAUAAAUGGAUAUUCUUGCACACGUCGGGUUCUGUCUUGGAUUAAAUUGUGUUAUCGCAGAUACGAACAGAUUGAACGGUAAAAUGUUCAUAGUUUCUUUAUAACAUAGGAAAGUAAAAAACAGUUCAACGCUAAUGUAAAGACAUGAUUUGUAAUAUUUUAAAUGUAACUCACGCUGUGAUUAGCCACGAAUUGUUUCUUUGGACAACGUGUCCAAUAAAUGUUCCUUGUACGAGUGCACACGACUCGCUGAACAGUUUUCGUCAUUCUGAAGAGAGGGGAAAGUAACAAAGAUUCCUACACUGUCCUGUAUAAAACUCCUAAAACUGGCGCACAUAAAGAGAUGUACGCAAUGAAACGUUAACAAUGUAAAAUGAUGAUCAAAUGAACAAUAAAUGAUGAAUGAGUUCUAGAACACUCCCCG
This 1370-nucleotide long non-coding RNA is filed under the name Mytilus galloprovincialis (Mediterranean mussel). Lineage: Eukaryota; Metazoa; Mollusca; Bivalvia; Mytilida; Mytilidae. The record is from RNAcentral.